RNAcentral lists this ribosomal RNA (761 nucleotides) under Prevotella nigrescens. Its description in RNAcentral is "bacterial SSU rRNA". It matches the Rfam family "Bacterial small subunit ribosomal RNA", at positions 28 to 776 of the family's 1533-position model. Lineage: Bacteria; Pseudomonadati; Bacteroidota; Bacteroidia; Bacteroidales; Prevotellaceae. The record is from RNAcentral.
GAUGAACGCUGGCUACAGGCUUAACACAUGCAAGUCGUGGGGAAACGGCAUUAUGUGCUUGCACAUUCUGGACGUCGACCGGCGCACGGGUGAGUAUCGCGUAUCCAACCUGCCCCUUACUUGGGGAUACCCCGUUGAAAGACGGCCUAAUACCCGAUGUGUUUCAUUGACGGCAUCCGAUAUGAAACAAAGGUUUUCCGGUAAGGGAUGGGGAUGCGUCUGAUUAGCUAGUUGGCGGGGCAACGGCCCACCAAGGCGACGAUCAGUAGGGGUUCUGAGAGGAAGGUCCCCCACAUUGGAACUGAGACACGGUCCAAACUCCUACGGGAGGCAGCAGUGAGGAAUAUUGGUCAAUGGACGCAAGUCUGAACCAGCCAAGUAGCGUGCAGGAUGACGGCCCUAUGGGUUGUAAACUGCUUUUAUGUGGGAAUAAAGUGGCGCACGUGUGCGCCAUUGCAUGUACCUCAUGAAUAAGGACCGGCUAAUUCCGUGCCAGCAGCCGCGGUAAUACGGAAGGUCCGGGCGUUAUCCGGAUUUAUUGGGUUUAAAAGGAGUGUAGGCGGUCUGUUAAGCGUGUUGUGAAAUUUAGGUGCUCAACAUUUAACUUGCAGCGCGAACUGUCAGACUUGAGUACACGCAGCGCAGGCGGAAUUCAUGGUGUAGCGGUGAAAUGCUUAGAUAUCAUGAGGAACUCCGAUCGCGAAGGCAGCCUGCGGGAGUGUUACUGACGCUUAAGCUCGAAGGUGCGGGUAUCGAACAGG